CGCGAUAUUCGGAGUGAUAUCUCUGGUUGCAACAUUAACAGUGUCGUGGGCAUUGUCAUAUUUUACUUCAAUUAUCUAUGACAAUUUUAUCAACAUCGGAAAGUAUGACUGUUGUUUAUUCACACCGGAGUACAGAUUUAAAAUUAUUUGUUUUAUGAAGAGAUUCGGAGGAAGA
Long non-coding RNA from Centruroides sculpturatus (bark scorpion), 175 nucleotides. RefSeq lists it as uncharacterized. The transcript is spliced from 3 exons. NCBI's taxonomy places the organism in Eukaryota, Metazoa, Arthropoda, Arachnida, Scorpiones, Buthidae. The record is from RefSeq and is a predicted model, not a curated record.